UUUGCAUUUUUUCUCUUUACUGGUAUGUGACCUGACAUCACAUCUGGAUUGUAACUUUCUUGAAAAAAUGGGGAAGCCGUGGUGCUUGACACCAGUUGACCGUGUAAGAGUCAAUUAUCUUGGUAGGCAAAGCCUGAGUCCCGUCCUUUCUCUCUCCUGCCCGGGGCAGAGUGAGCUUCACCACUCGAUCCACCUUCUCCACAAACUACUGGUUCCUGGGCUCCAUCCAGGUGCCCAGCUACGGUGCCCAGCUGGUCAGCAGUGUGGCCAGUGUCUAUGCAAGGGCCGGAGGCUCUGGUCCCCACAUAUCUGUGUCCCGCUCCACCAGUUUCUGGGGUGACAUGGGGGCCAGGGGCCUGGCUGUGGGGAUGGCAGGAAUGGGAGGGAUCCUGAAUGAGAAGGAGACUAUGCAAAGUCUGAACGACCGCCUAGCCUCCCACCUGGACAGAGUGAGGGACCUGGAAACCAAGAACUGGAAGCUGGAGAGCAAAAUCCAGGAGCAGCUGGAGAAGAAGGGACCCUAAGUCAGAGACUGGAGCCAUUACUUCAAGACCAUCGAGGACCUGAGGGCUCGGAUCUUCGCAAAUACUUGGACAAUGCCCGCAUCGUUCUGCAGAUUGACAAUGCCCGUCUUGCUGCUUAUGACUUUAGAGUCAAGUAUGAGACAGAGUUGGCCAUGCCUCAGUCUGUGGUGAGUGACAUUCAUGGGCUCCACAAGGUCAUUGAUGACACCAAUGUCACUCGGCUGCAGCUAGAGACAGAGAUUGAGGCUGUCAAGGAGGAGCUGCUCUUCAUGAAGAAGAACCAUGAAGAGGAGGUAAAAGGCCUACAAGCCCAGAUUGCCAGCUCUGGGUUGACCAUGGAGGUAGAUGCCCCCAACUCUCAGGACCUCGCCAAGAUCAUGGGAGACAUCUGGGCCCCAUAGGACGAGCUAGCUCAGAAGAACCGAGAGGAGCGGGACAAGUGCUGGUCUCAGCAGAUUGAGGAGAGCACCGCAGUGGUUCCCACGCAGUCCGCCAAGGUUGGAGCUGCUGAAAUGACUCUCACAGAGCUGAGACAUACGGUCCAGUCCUUGAAGAUCGACCUGGACUCCAUAAGAAAUACGAAGAUCAGCUUGGAGAACAGCCUGAGGGAGGUGGAGGCCCGCUAUGCCCUGCAGAUGGAGCAGCUCAACGGGAUCCUGCUGCACCUGGAGUCAGAGCUGGUACAGACCUGGGCAGAGGGACAGCACCAGGCCCAGGAGUACCAGGCCCUGCUGAACAUCAAGGUCAAGCUGGAGGCUGAGAUUGCCACCUACUGCCGCCUGCUGGAAGAUGGUGAGGACUUCAAUCUUUGUGAUGCCCUGGACAGCAGCAACUCCAUGCAAACCAUCCAAAAGACCACCAUCCACCAGACAGUGGAUGGCAAAGUGGUGUCUGAGACCAACGACACCAAAGUUCUGAGACAUUAAGCCAGCAGAAGCAGGGGGACCCUUUGGGAGCAGGCGGCCAAUAAAAGUUCAGAGGUCAAAAAAAGAGUC
Molecule: non-coding RNA, 1519 nt
Organism: Callithrix jacchus (white-tufted-ear marmoset)
Lineage: Eukaryota; Metazoa; Chordata; Mammalia; Primates; Cebidae
Source: RefSeq, a predicted model, not a curated record